This 427-nucleotide ribosomal RNA is filed under the name uncultured bacterium. RNAcentral describes it as "partial 16S ribosomal RNA". It matches the Rfam family "Bacterial small subunit ribosomal RNA", at positions 355 to 774 of the family's 1533-position model. The record is from RNAcentral.
UGGGGAAUAUUGCACAAUGGGCGCAAGCCUGAUGCAGCCAUGCCGCGUGUAUGAAGAAGGCCUUCGGGUUGUAAAGUACUUUCAGCGGGGAGGAAGGUGUUGUGGUUAAUAACCUCAGCAAUUGACGUUACCCGCAGAAGAAGCACCGGCUAACUCCGUGCCAGCAGCCGCGGUAAUACGGAGGGUGCAAGCGUUAAUCGGAAUUACUGGGCGUAAAGCGCACGCAGGCGGUCUGUCAAGUCGGAUGUGAAAUCCCCGGGCUCAACCUGGGGACUGCAUCCGAAACUGGCAGGCUUGAGUCUUGUAGAGGGGGGUAGAAUUCCAGGUGUAGCGGUGAAAUGCGUAGAGAUCUGGAGGAAUACCGGUGGCGAAGGCGGCCCCCUGGACAAAGACUGACGCUCAGGUGCGAAAGCGUGGGGAGCAAACA